AUACGUAGGGGGCGAGCGUUGUCCGGAAUUACUGGGCGUAAAGAGCUCGUAGGUGGUUUGUCGCGUCGUCUGUGAAAUUCCGGGGCUUAACUCCGGGCGUGCAGGCGAUACGGGCAUAACUUGAGUACUGUAGGGGAGACUGGAAUUCCUGGUGUAGCGGUGAAAUGCGCAGAUAUCAGGAGGAACACCGGUGGCGAAGGCGGGUCUCUGGGCAGUAACUGACGCUGAGGAGCGAAAGCAUGGGUAGCGAACAGGAUUAGAUACCCUGGUAGUCCAUGCCGUAAACGGUGGGCGCUAGGUGUAGGGGUCUUCCACGACUUCUGUGCCGUAGCUAACGCAUUAAGCGCCCCGCCUGGGGAGUACGGCUGCAAGGCUAAAACUCAAAUGAAUUGACGGGG
This 398-nucleotide ribosomal RNA is filed under the name uncultured bacterium. Its description in RNAcentral is "partial 16S ribosomal RNA". It matches the Rfam family "Bacterial small subunit ribosomal RNA", at positions 523 to 918 of the family's 1533-position model. The record is from RNAcentral.